GAUGAACGCUGGCGGCGUGCUUAACACAUGCAAGUCGAACGAGAAGUGAAGACGGAACCCUUCGGGCGGAAGGCUUUAUUUCGAGUGGCGGACGGGUGAGUAACGCGUGGGUAACCUGCCUCAUACAGGGGGAUAACAGUUGGAAACGACUGUUAAUACCGCAUAAGACCACAGCACCGCAUGGUGCGGGGGUAAAAACUCCGGUGGUAUGAGAUGGACCCGCGUUCGAUUAGCCAGUUGGCGGGGUAACGGCCCACCAAAGCGACGAUCGAUAGCCGAUCUGAGAGGAUGACCGGCCACAUUGGGACUGAGACACGGCCCAAACUCCUACGGGAGGCAGCAGUGGGGAAUAUGGCACAAUGGGGGAAACCCUGAUGCAGCGACGCCGCGGGAGUGAAGAAGUAUUUCGGUAGGUAAAGCUCUAUCAGCAGGGAAGAAAAUGACGGUACCGGAGUAAGAAGCCCCGGCUAACUACGU
RNAcentral lists this ribosomal RNA (477 nucleotides) under uncultured bacterium. RNAcentral describes it as "partial 16S ribosomal RNA". It matches the Rfam family "Bacterial small subunit ribosomal RNA", at positions 28 to 506 of the family's 1533-position model. The record is from RNAcentral.